RNAcentral lists this ribosomal RNA (253 nucleotides) under uncultured bacterium. Its description in RNAcentral is "partial 16S ribosomal RNA". It matches the Rfam family "Bacterial small subunit ribosomal RNA", at positions 524 to 776 of the family's 1533-position model. The record is from RNAcentral.
UACAGAGGGUGCAAGCGUUAAUCGGAAUUACUGGGCGUAAAGGGCGCGUAGGCGGUUGUUUAAGUUAGAUGUGAAAUCCCUGGGCUUAACCUAGGACUGUCAUUUAAGACUGAACGACUGGAGUUUAGUAGAGGGUAGUGGAAUUUCCGGUGUAGCGGUGAAAUGCGUAGAGAUCGGAAGGAACACCAGUGGCGAAGGCGGCUACCUGGACAAAAACUGACGCUGAGGCGCGAAAGCGUGGGGAUCAAACAGG